CACGUAGGGCGCAAGCGUUGUCCGGAAUUAUUGGGCGUAAAGAGCUCGUAGGCGGUCUGUUGCGUCCGCUGUGAAAACUCGGGGCUUAACCCCGAGCCUGCAGUGGAUACGGCAGACUAGAGGUAGGUAGGGAGAAUGGAAUUCCCGGUGUAGCGGUGAAAUGCGCAGAUAUCGGGAGGAACACCGGUGGCGAAGGCGGUU
RNAcentral lists this ribosomal RNA (201 nucleotides) under uncultured bacterium. Its description in RNAcentral is "partial 16S ribosomal RNA". It matches the Rfam family "Bacterial small subunit ribosomal RNA", at positions 524 to 726 of the family's 1533-position model. The record is from RNAcentral.